GCUAUACUGCAAGUCGUACGCUUCUUUUUCCCCGGAGCUUGCUCCACCGGAAAAAGAAGAGUGGCGAACGGGUGAGUAACACGUGGGUAACCUGCCCAUCAGAAGGGGAUAACACUUGGAAACAGGUGCUAAUACCGUAUAACAAUCGAAACCGCAUGGUUUUGAUUUGAAAGGCGCUUUCGGGUGUCGCUGAUGGAUGGACCCGCGGUGCAUUAGCUAGUUGGUGAGGUAACGGCUCACCAAGGCCACGAUGCAUAGCCGACCUGAGAGGGUGAUCGGCCACAUUGGGACUGAGACACGGCCCAAACUCCUACGGGAGGCAGCAGUAGGGAAUCUUCGGCAAUGGACGAAAGUCUGACCGAGCAACGCCGCGUGAGUGAAGAAGGUUUUCGGAUCGUAAAACUCUGUUGUUAGAGAAGAACAAGGAUGAGAGUAACUGUUCAUCCCUUGACGGUAUCUAACCAGAAAGCCACGGCUAACUACGUGCCAGCAGCCGCGGUAAUACGUAGGUGGCAAGCGUUGUCCGGAUUUAUUGGGCGUAAAGCGAGCGCAGGCGGUUUCUUAAGUCUGAUGUGAAAGCCCCCGGCUCAACCGGGGAGGGUCAUUGGAAACUGGGAGACUUGAGUGCAGAAGAGGAGAGUGGAAUUCCAUGUGUAGCGGUGAAAUGCGUAGAUAUAUGGAGGAACACCAGUGGCGAAGGCGGCUCUCUGGUCUGUAACUGACGCUGAGGCUCGAAAGCGUGGGGAGCAAACAGGAUUAGAUACCCUGGUAGUCCACGCCGUAAACGAUGAGUGCUAAGUGUUGGAGGGUUUCCGCCCUUCAGUGCUGCAGCUAACGCAUUAAGCACUCCGCCUGGGGAGUACGACCGCAAGGUUGAAACUCAAAGGAAUUGACCGGGGCCCGCACAAGCGGUGGAGCAUGUGGUUUAAUUCGAAGCAACGCGAAGUACCUUACCAAGUCUGACAUCCUUUGACCACUCUAAUAUAGAGCUUCCCCUUCG
This 1000-nucleotide ribosomal RNA is filed under the name Enterococcus faecium. RNAcentral describes it as "bacterial SSU rRNA". It matches the Rfam family "Bacterial small subunit ribosomal RNA", at positions 48 to 1022 of the family's 1533-position model. The record is from RNAcentral. Lineage: Bacteria; Bacillati; Bacillota; Bacilli; Lactobacillales; Enterococcaceae.